RNAcentral lists this ribosomal RNA (447 nucleotides) under uncultured bacterium. RNAcentral describes it as "partial 16S ribosomal RNA". It matches the Rfam family "Bacterial small subunit ribosomal RNA", at positions 29 to 523 of the family's 1533-position model. The record is from RNAcentral.
AACGAACGCUGGCGGCAGGCUUAACACAUGCAAGUCGAGCGCCCCGCAAGGGGAGCGGCAGACGGGUGAGUAACGCGUGGGAAUCUACCCAUCCCUACGGAAUAGCUCCGGGAAACUGGAAUUAAUACCGUAUACGCCCUACGGGGGAAAGAUUUAUCGGGGAUGGAUGAGCCCGCGUUGGAUUAGCUAGUUGGUGGGGUAAAGGCCUACCAAGGCGACGAUCCAUAGCUGGUCUGAGAGGAUGAUCAGCCACAUUGGGACUGGGACACCGCCCAAACCCCUACGGGAGGGAGGCAGGGGGAAAAAUGGAAAAAGGGGGCAACCCUGAUCCAGCCAUGCCGCGUGAGUGAUGAAGGCCUUAGGGUUGUAAAGCUCUUUCACCGGGGAAGAUAAUGACGGUACCCGGAGAAGAAGCCCCGGCUAACUACGUGCCAGCCGCCGCAGUAA